GACGAACCGUCCAAACGUUGUUCGGAAUCACUGGGCUUAAAGGGCGCGUAGGUGGCGCUGCAAGUCGGUGGUGAAAGCUCGAUGCUUAACAUCGAGUCGGCCAUCGAAACUGCAGGGCUGGAGCACUGUAGGGGCAGAUGGAAUUCCGGGUGUAGCGGUGGAAUGCGUAGAGAUCCGGAAGAACACCGGUGGCGAAGGCGGUCUGCUGGGCAGUUGCUGACACUGAGGCGCGACAGCGUGGGGAGCAAACAGG
This 253-nucleotide ribosomal RNA is filed under the name uncultured bacterium. RNAcentral's name for it is "partial 16S ribosomal RNA". It matches the Rfam family "Bacterial small subunit ribosomal RNA", at positions 524 to 776 of the family's 1533-position model. The record is from RNAcentral.